This 522-nucleotide ribosomal RNA is filed under the name uncultured bacterium. RNAcentral describes it as "partial 16S ribosomal RNA". It matches the Rfam family "Bacterial small subunit ribosomal RNA", at positions 355 to 867 of the family's 1533-position model. The record is from RNAcentral.
UGGGGAAUUUUGGACAAUGGGCGCAAGCCUGAUCCAGCCAUGCCGCGUGCGGGAAGAAGGCCUUCGUGUUGUAAACCGCUUUUGUCAGGGAAGAAAUCUUCUGAGUUAAUACCUCGGGAGGAUGACGGUACCUGAAGAAUAAGCACCGGCUAACUACGUGCCAGCAGCCGCGGUAAUACGUAGGGUGCAAGCGUUAAUCGGAAUACUGGGCGUAAAGCGUGCGCAGGCGGUUUUGUAAGACAGAGGUGAAAUCCCCGGGCUCAACCUGGGAACUGCCUUUGUGACUGCAAGGCUUGAGUGCGGCAGAGGGGGGAUGGAAUUCCGCGUGUAGCAGUGAAAUGCGUAGAUAUGCGGAGGAACACCGAUGGCGAAGGCAAAUCCCCUGGGCCUGCACUGACGGCUCAUGCACGAAAGCGUGGGAGCAAACAGGAUUAGAUACCCUGGUAGUCCACGCCCUAAAACGAUGUCAAACUGGUUGUUGGGAAGGUUCCUUCUCAGUAACGUAGCUAACGCGUGAAGUUG